UUCCCCUUUUGACUGCCACAUUUUCUCCCAAUAGAUUUUAGUGGCUAUGCUUAUGGGAUAGAGUAACAUCACCAUGGUCUGAAGGGGGAGGAUUUGUGUCCUCCUUCUGUAUGAAAUGGCUAAACAGAAAAAA
Molecule: small nucleolar RNA, 133 nt
Organism: Myotis lucifugus (little brown bat)
Lineage: Eukaryota; Metazoa; Chordata; Mammalia; Chiroptera; Vespertilionidae
Product: small nucleolar RNA SNORA29
Source: Ensembl